AUAGAUUUUAUUUAUUAAUUUUAUUUAUUUAUUUAAUUUAUUUAAUAAAAAUAAUUUUAAAAUUUUAAGUUUAAGUAUUUUAUAAAGAAAAAAUAAUUUUAAUUAUAGUUUAUUUGUAUUGUGAAAGAAAAUUGAAAUAAUUUGAAAAAUUUUUAUUUUAAAAGAAAAUUUAAUUUAUUGUACCUUGUGUAUCAGGGUUUAUUAAAUAAAAAAUUAUUAUAUUAAUUUUUCUCGAAUUUUAAAGAUUUAAUUAUAUAUAAAAGUUACUGUGGAAUAAUUAUUUUUAAUAUAUAAUUAGAAAUGAAAUGUUAAUCGUUUUAAAAUAUAUCUAGUUUUUUAAGAAAUAAAUUUAAUUUAGAUUUAUAAAUUUAAAUUAUUUAAUUAUUUUAAAUAAUUUAUUUUAUAAAAUUAAUAUUUUAAGGGAUUAGCUUUAAAAUAAAUUUUUAAAUUUUAAAUUAAUUAUUUAAUAAAUAUAAGCUUAAAAAUAGCUAUUAUUAAUAAAUUUGUUAUAAUUUAUUUUAAAAAUUUAAUUAUUUAAUAUAAAAUUAAAUUAUUUAUUAAAAUAUAAAUUUUAAUAAUAAAAAUUUAUAAAUUAUGAUAAAAUUAGUAUAUAAAAUUUUUAUAAAUAAUUAUUUAUGAAAGGUUUAAAUAAGGAAUUCGGCAAAAUAUAUAUUCACCUGUUUAUCAAAAACAUGUCUUUUUGAAUUAAAUUUAAAGUCUAACCUGCCCACUGAUAUAAAUUAAAGGGCCGCAGUAUUUUGACUGUGCGAAGGUAGCAUAAUCACUAGUCUUUUAAUUGGAGGCUUGUAUGAAUGGUUGAAUGAGAUAUAUACUGUCUUUUUUAAAAUUAUAUAGAAUUUUAUUUUUUAGUUAAAAAGCUAAAAUAAAAUUAAAGGACGAGAAGACCCUAUAGAUCUUUAUUUUUGUUAUUUAUAAAUUAAAAAGAAUUUUAAAAUUUAUAAUUUAAUAAAAAAUUUUAUUGGGGUGAUAUUAAAAUUUAAAAAACUUUUAAAAUUUAUUAACAUUAAUAUAUGAAUAAAUGAUCCAGUUUUAUUGAUUAAAAAUUUAAGUUACCUUAGGGAUAACAGCGUAAUUUUUUUUUAGAGGUCAUAUCGACAAAAAAGAUUGCGACCUCGAUGUUGGAUUAAGAGUUAUUUUUAGGUGUAGAAGUUUAAAGUUUAGGUCUGUUCGACCUUUGAAUUCUUACAUGAUCUGAGUUCAAACCGGCGUAAGCCAGGUUGGUUUCUAUCCUUAAUUAAUUAUUAUAUUAUAGUACGAAAGGACCUAAUAUAAAAAAUAUAGAUUUUAAUAAUAUGAUUAAUAUUAAUAUUAGAUA
RNAcentral lists this ribosomal RNA (1336 nucleotides) under Culex usquatissimus. Its description in RNAcentral is "16S ribosomal RNA". The stretch from base 892 to 1253 matches the Rfam family "Bacterial large subunit ribosomal RNA", at positions 2075 to 2645 of the family's 2925-position model. The record is from RNAcentral. Lineage: Eukaryota; Metazoa; Arthropoda; Insecta; Diptera; Culicidae.